AUCGCUUCUCUGCCUUUUGGCUAAGAUCAAGUGUAGUAUCAAAGACAUGAGAUUUCUUACUCUGGAGAAAUGUCAGGUAGCAUUGUAAGUAAUGCAGGAAAGAUUCAUUUCUUGUGAAUAUCAUAUAAGAUGUGAUUGUAUUCUAGAGAUGUGCUUUAU
Molecule: small nuclear RNA, 159 nt
Organism: Heterocephalus glaber (naked mole-rat)
Lineage: Eukaryota; Metazoa; Chordata; Mammalia; Rodentia; Bathyergidae
Gene: U2
Rfam family: U2 spliceosomal RNA
About the family: U2 is a small nuclear RNA (snRNA) component of the spliceosome (involved in pre-mRNA splicing). Complementary binding between U2 snRNA (in an area lying towards the 5' end but 3' to hairpin I) and the branchpoint sequence (BPS) of the intron results the bulging out of an unpaired adenosine, on the BPS, which initiates a nucleophilic attack at the intronic 5' splice site, thus starting the first of two transesterification reactions that mediate splicing.
Source: Ensembl